Oncorhynchus mykiss (rainbow trout) is the source of this 3523-nucleotide non-coding RNA. Lineage: Eukaryota; Metazoa; Chordata; Actinopteri; Salmoniformes; Salmonidae. The record is from RefSeq and is a predicted model, not a curated record.
ACGCACGGUAAAUUCAGGGUUCCAGGGACGUUCACAUUAGUGACAGGAUGACGCGACGUGAACAUCGUGCUCUCCCUCAUCACUAUGAUUUUGGUUACGCGUCUGCGCGCGCCCUGCAUCAGCGGCCGGGCCACAUAGCAAUCAGGUGGUAAAAUGCAACUUUUAAGGAUAGCUUUUGAAGGCAGCUAUGGUGUUGUUGUUACCUUACAAGGGCCGACAAUAUGAGAAAAUGACAUAUUUGAUGGGUAACUAAACGGCAAUGAGUAGGUUAACCGGAUGAAACGAGACUAGAAGCAAGACAAUCAUGAGCUCCUCUUUUCCCAAAUCCGAAUCCAAGACCUCAUUGCUGAAAUCUUCCUCGGCAAGCGGAAGAUCGACACACUUCCCUGAACGUACGACAGGAACCGACCGAAAUCAUCAUCAUCAUCACCACCGUCCAGCUGCAAGUCAAGUGAGCAGCAAUGCCGCAGAGGAGUCUUUCUGGUCGGCAGAGUGCGACGUUACUGCGAGGAGACCCCUGUGCCACCCUUCGCUCCUCGGUACCCGGAAUAGGGCGACGACCCGAGCUAGUAAGAGCCAGCCCCACGCCCCACAUGGCAACGUUCCCGCCGCCCACUCCCAGGAUGACCCAUCUGAGCAACAUGGUGUGGUUCGAGGUGUGAGAGAACGCUGCAAGUCAUCCAAGCAUCACCGACACCACCGGAAAACGACCCGGGACGACCAGCCAGCUGCACAACACCACAGCCACACUCACCCUACCCGUUUAGACCCCAGAAUAGGCAUGCAGCCCCACUCAGACUGCAAAGACGACACCGCGCUCUUGUUUGAAUCGAGGGACCAUACAAGGGCCAGUUCGUCUGCUAGCGUGGAUGUCAGCAUCCCGUCCCCAGCUUCCUCCUCGCCUAUCCCCGUAUCCAGCCGAUCCUCUCACCGCUCUCGAAGGUCCAGCGCAGCAUCUUGUGAAUCUGACUUUUUGCGGCCAAUUCUCAACUCGGUUUUUGGACAGGACAGAGACCUGAGGCCAGAGGAGAUUGAUGAGUUGCGGGAUGCUUUUAAGGAGUUUGAUAAGGACAAAGAUGGUUUCAUCAGCUGUAAAGACCUGGGAAACUGUAUGAGAACCAUGGGAUACAUGCCUACUGAAAUGGAGUUGAUAGAACUGAGCCAACAGAUCAACAUGAAUUUGGGAGGUCAUGUUGACUUUGAGGAUUUUGUGGAGUUGAUGGGCCCCAAACUUCUCGCUGAAACUGCAGAUAUGAUUGGUGUAAAAGAACUGAGAGAUGCCUUCAAAGAGUUUGACACCAAUGGUGAUGGAGCGAUAAGCACAUCUGAGCUGAGAGAAGCCAUGAGGAAGUUGCUGGGACAACAGGUGAGGUUACAGAAUGAAGUCUGUCUGAGUAGCUUAACCGAUGUAUGCAUCACUACUAAAAACGUUGUUUUACACACACGUAUUCCUCCUUUGUUACUGGACUGUAGGUUGGCCACAAGGACUUAGAAGAUAUCCUGAGGGACAUCGACUUGAAUGGUGAUGGGCAUGUUGACUUUGAAGAGUUUGUACGAAUGAUGUCCCGCUGAGAGGAGGAAUGGUCGAUAUGGCUUCAAGUUAAUUAUUCUGAAUGUGAACCUCGGCCCCUUUGUCAUCAUCAUUGAAUGAGCAAAACGGAAUAAAUACUUGGACCUCUGAGCUAUCUUUUCCUGAGAAAAACUGGAAUUAAAGCCCUUACCUCUAAGUAGAAACGGAAGACCACGGUACUGCUCAAAAUAGUGUUCUUCCCUAAAAGCCCCACAUUCCAACUUAGACAGGUUCUACUGUAGCUUACAGACUGACCCGCUAAUGGUUUCCACACUAUUAACCCUCCACGAACUGUAUACACUUGUGUGUAGCCUGCUGUUUAGGCAAGUUUUGUUUCUCAACCUUUAAAUGGCAAUAUUUCUUGUGACUACUGAUAUGUUCUUCAAGUUUGGGUAAUAGAGUGAGAAAAGCAGAGAGUCUUAUUUGUGUGUGUGUUUGUCACUGUGAUCUUUUGUGAGGUGAUCACUGUGUUUACCCAGCACCAUAAAUGCACCAGAUCCUCUCUAAUGCACUGGGUUUAUGGGACAAGCAAGAGCUAAGAGGACCUCAGCAAACACGCUUUUCCCAGAUCUGGAAAAUAGUAGCUUUUCUUCACAUUUGUGUGCAGUGCAUAAACAUGAUGGUUUAUGUGUACAGUAUCCUGUCUGUCUGUCUGUCUGUCUGUCUGUCUGUCUGUCUGUCUGUCUGUCUGUCUGUCUGUCUGUCUGUCUGUCUGUCUGUCUGUCUGUACAGUUUGACAAAUAAAUUGCAGAGUCCUAGUUUGUCAUUGUGCUGUUUUUAUGCAUGCCAGAGACAAACCUAAUUUUAAAUAUAGUAUUAUCUGUAUGGGUGUGACAGUAAAUGUAAUACAUUGUCUAAUGUAUAAAGUAGGCCACGCAAUCUACUAAAAAUAAAUGUCUACUUGUGAACCUGUUUUUCCAGUGUUGCAAUAAGUCCCAGGGAAAUAGCUAUAUGGUGUGAAGCCAGGAAAGAAGAGACAGAUUGAACUAUUGCAAUACCAGACAAACAUGUAAAGGGCCCAUACUAGGGGCUUCUGUGAAGUGAAGAAGUGUCUCACAAGGACAUUGGACUGACACAUCAAACCUUCUUUUUCAUUUUUUGCAUAUGGAUAAACAAUACAGAGCAAUAGGCCUAGACCAUUCUGGGCUCAAACAAUAUCAACAUUUAAGAAAAUAUUCAAAUAGAUAUGGCUAAAGGCCGACCUUGACAGAACAGAAAUGAUUUGUAGACUUCAGUUACUAAAGAGACGUUUUCAUGGUACCAGGACACAACAAUGGUGCGCGAAUGACUGGCUGGCUGGAACAGAACAAGUUGUCAUGGCAACUGUCUCGCUCUUCCACCUGGAUCCGCAGGAGCGGCGCAACAUCUCUCUUCUUUGUUCCCUACCGUCUGUCUGGACAUGACCCAAAAUCCACACGGGCUCCAUCGUGUGGUAAAUGUCUAGAAUACAUUUUGUUUUGAGUUCUUGAUGUUCUCAAUUUUCGAAACUCAAGAGAUGCACGAGAUAAAACUGUCUAAUCGUUAGCAUACAGCUAGCUACACAGCACUUUAAAAAAAAAAGUCAGGUGCAGGUUUCUUUCAUCAUAGUGUUCGCUGUAUGCAUAUUGUGUGUGAAUUGUGUUGUGUGUAUUGCUGAAUUGUCAUCUGUUGAUAUGAUUAUGUGGGCUACAGGUUGUGUUUUUCUAGUGACAACAUAUCGGCAUGGUCUGUGGUUGAUCAAAACCCAUGGCACAGUUUCUAAACCAGUGGUCACCAAUUGUUCGAUCGCGGCAGACCAGGGAGAUUUGUGGCUAAAUCGAGUGCGCCUACUCUGCUGGCCAAUCGGAUAGCUCACAUCACCGUGCCUACAAGCUUCCAAGACAGGAAGACCCCGGCGACAGAAAGUUUGAUACUAGCCAGCGUGAGAAUUCAUAACUUUUACAACCAUGUUCAGAUAAAUACUUUUAAAGAAUA